RNAcentral lists this ribosomal RNA (877 nucleotides) under uncultured Chloroflexota bacterium. Its description in RNAcentral is "SSU rRNA". It matches the Rfam family "Bacterial small subunit ribosomal RNA", at positions 23 to 901 of the family's 1533-position model. The record is from RNAcentral. Lineage: Bacteria; Bacillati; Chloroflexota.
CUCANGACGAACGCUGGCGGUGCAUCUAAGGCAUGCAAGUCGAACGGUACCGAUUAGCUUCGGCUUAUCGGAAGAGUGGCAGACGGCUGAGUAACGCGUAAGUGACCUGCCCCGAAGAGGGGGAUAAUCCGGAGAAAUCCGGCCUAAUACCCCGUACGCUCCGAUGGUUACGGUCAUCAGAGGAAAGGUUUUCGCUUCGGCGGACUCCGCUUUGGGAGGGGCUUGCGUCCUAUCAGGUAGUUGGUGGGGUAACGGCCUACCAAGCCGAACACGGGUAACCGGUGUGAGAGCAUGAUCGGUCAGAGGGGGACUGAGACACGGCCCCCACUCCUACGGGAGGCAGCAGCUGGGAAUCUUGCGCAAUGGGCGAAAGCCUGACGCAGUGACACCGCGUGGGGGAAGAAGGCUUUAGGGUCGUAAACCCCUUUUCUUGGGGAAGAGUAAGGACGGUACCCAAGGAAUAAGCAUCGGCUAACUACGUGCCAGCAGCCGCGGUAAUACGUAGGAUGCGAGCGUUGUCCGGAUUUACUGGGCGUAAAGGGCGAGUAGGCGGCUUGUCAAGUCUCAUGUGAAAUCUCCCGGCUUAACCGGGAGGGGUCAUGGGAAACUGGCAAGCUUGAGGUCAGCAGAGGAAAGUGGAAUUCCCGGAGUAGCGGUGAAAUGCGUAGAUACCGGGAGGAACACCCGAGGCGAAAGCGACUUUCUGGGCUGCACCUGACGCUGAGGCGCGAAAGCAUGGGGAGCGAACCGGAUUAGAUACCCGGGUAGUCCAUGCCCUAAACGAUGGAUACUAGGUAUGGGGGGUAUCGACCCCCUCCGUGUCGAAGCUUACGCGAUAAGUAUCCCGCCUGGGGAGUACGGCCGCAAGGCUAAAACU